Molecule: non-coding RNA, 2076 nt
Organism: Arachis ipaensis
Lineage: Eukaryota; Viridiplantae; Streptophyta; Magnoliopsida; Fabales; Fabaceae
Source: RefSeq, a predicted model, not a curated record
UGCAUAUAUAGACAAUUAUUUGUAAAUAUAAAAUAUUAAAAGUAAACAGUUAUUUUAAAACAGAAGAAAAAAAAUAAUAGAUUUUAUCAAACCAAUGGCAAAUAAGAACAGCAAACGGGCUAGUUCAUCUCGCCUCAUUAAGGGAAGACCUACAUCUCUGAACAUUAACGAUGAACACAGGCAAUGACGCUGGAGAAGACUGCGUGUGAUGUUCACGCCAUCAUAGGGAGCCAGUAAGCUCGAUAGUGCACUGCAAUGACCAUUGACUAGGGUUAGAAUUGGCUUUUAAAAAUACAGGUGGAUAGUUGCACUACAACAUUUUUGGCCUAAGGUAACCCUUAUUCGAAGCAACAUUUAACAAAAGUUGCCUUAAAUAGGCAAAGACAACAUUUUUGACGAGUUGCCUUUGAGUAAGGCAAAGAUAACAAAAUUUUUGGUUACCCAAAAAAAAAGUUGUCUUUGAUAUCUAAAACAACAUUUACAAAAUGUUGUAAUAUAAAAAAUUUAAGACAACAAUUUUAAAUAAAAAUGCAACAUUUUAUAAAGGUUGUCAAAAAAAUUUAACAAAUAAUAUUUAUAAAAGACUACCUAAAAUUGUUCAUAAUUAAAACUUUUAGAGAAACUUUUAACCAUAUUUCUACCAAUUAUUUUUCCUAUCAAAUAACUUAAAAAAAAAACAUAUUUGUUUAUGAGUUCAUUUGAAAGAGAAUACCUAAGCCUUGAAUAACCAAGCGUCCAAGCCACCAGUAACACCCACGCACGAACCCUUCCUCUCCUUUCUCCACUGUCAGCUACUCAGCUCCAAUAAUCGACGACAUUAACGGCGACAGCAGCUCCUCCACGGCAACGGCACGGUUCUCUCCUCCACGGCGACGGUGCGGUUCUCUCCUUCACGGUGACGGUGCGGUUCUCUCCUCCACGACGACGGUGCGGUUCUCUCCUCCAUGGCGACGGUGCGGUUCUCUUCUCCACGCGGGCUUCUCCAGGGCGACGGCGCGGUGCGCUCCUCGUUCUGCGCCGAACCACCACUGGUGAGAAACCCCUCUUCCUUCUCUUCUCCUUCUUCCUCUUCUUCUCUUUUCUCGCAUCCUCUUCUUCGCGAACCGGAGAUUCAUGUAGAACCGUAGCAACCUCUGUUCCGCUGGCGAGCUUUGACGCAACACGGCGACUACCCCUCUGCUGGUCUAUUGCUCUGGCAACACGGCGACCACCCCUCAACUGUAACCUCCUCACCACUGCCUUCUUGUUACUCUGUUCUUCAAUUUCCAGUUGUCUUGUAGGGAAAUGCUAAUGUAAUAUGUGGUGUAGCUUGGGAAUUCUGGCCGCUGGAGCAUAUGGCUUGCCUCAAUUUCGACUGCGAGUGUUUUAAUGGGGUAUUAAACCUUCUGAGGUAUUCUAAUGUUUUUGAGCUUAACAUUGGCUCAGAAUUAAGAUGUGGUGGAACAUUUCUUCAAAAAUGGAACAAAUCGAUGAAGAUGUCGUUUCAGAACGCUGUUGAUCAAGUUCGGUACCUUUUCCCACAUCUAAAUCUCGAUUCUGUUGGGUUGGAUCAUCGCAAAGUUGUAAAGGAAGGUAAAGCAAUGUGCGGAAAUGUCACGGAAGCUACGAUUCUUCAAGGAUCAAAUCAAUAAAGCUGACAUAGUGUCUUCUCAUGCUGCAUUGCAAUAAGGCUCUAUCAGACUGGACGAACAUGAUGAAGAGCUCACAGAAAUAGUUGAGAUUGUGAAGAGAACAUUGCCACCACCCCCUGAAGAUGCCAAUGGUUCUGAAGCAACAAAAUCAAAUGGUGGGGAAGGUGGGAAACAAAUAAAAACAAGUUGAUAUCCUACUUGUGACCAUAGAAUUUUGUGAAUAGCACCAUAGGAUCUCAAGAAAGUAGUUCGGUUAUAGUUUUCUAUUAGUUGGUAUGCUGAGAUUUAGAAUUAGGUUCCUUUUUCAAGGGGUGUAGGUGUGUUGAUUACUGCCUUAUUGGUGAUGAAAUACACAUGCAAGGUGCAUUGCCAAAUUUGCAAUAUCGCACAGCAGGAAAAAUAUGUAUUUUGUUACUUAUGUUUAUUUAUUUGACUUCGUAACUUA